AUCUGGGCGGCGGAAUUCAGGAUGGCUGGCGGGCUUCGYGCUUGUCCGGUCGUUUGAUAUUUCYGUCGCCGUGUCGGACGUCGCGACCUGUUCRUCGUCGGUCCCUGCUCGGAGGAAUCGCGAUCGAGUUCGUUGCGCGGUGCGUUUCGGCGUGCCGAGCGGCGAAGACGCGGCUCUCUGRCUGACGGCGGACAGUAAGCAACGGUGUYCGGCGUCGUGUCUCGCACUCGRCGCCGGUGCYGGUCUGCGACGAUUUCUUCGGGCCUCUUUCCGACCCGUCUUGAAACACGGACCAAGGAGUCUAACAUGCGCGCGAGUCGCGGGGUUYCGAGCGUACCACGGUGCGCUCGUUACUUGCGAAACCCGUACGUUGAAGGCGUAAUGAAAGUGAACAGGGAAGAUGGCGUUCCGAGUCCACGUACCGUGAUCGUGUGUCGCGGCCGGACGUCCGCACUCCCGGGGCGUCUCAAURGCUCGUCGCGGAUGCGGACGGUCGUCUCUCGGGGCGGCUGUCGRUCUGYGACGGACAGAGGCGCACCUAUAGCGUGCACGUUGGUACCCGAAAGAUGGUGAACUAUGCC
This 581-nucleotide ribosomal RNA is filed under the name Fiorinia externa. Its description in RNAcentral is "partial large subunit ribosomal RNA". Lineage: Eukaryota; Metazoa; Arthropoda; Insecta; Hemiptera; Diaspididae. The record is from RNAcentral.